RNAcentral lists this long non-coding RNA (314 nucleotides) under Setaria viridis. RNAcentral describes it as "long non-coding RNA (SVIR_LNC006710)". The record is from RNAcentral. Lineage: Eukaryota; Viridiplantae; Streptophyta; Magnoliopsida; Poales; Poaceae.
GGGACGGCUGACAAAUGAAGCGACCCUUCGUGGUGUGCAGAUGUCAUGAGAUUAGGUUCGCCAUGCAUGGUUAAUAAAUUCGAAUCGAUUCAUCUACCUCUCACAGUUUGGGACUGCUUGAUCGCUAUUGUGCAUUGAGUAAAGAUGUGAUUAUACUAAUUUGAUGCUUGUUCUUUAAUUGCUUGGAACUAUGCUUGCUUAGUAUAAGUUGCUAAUCUAGACUGGUUAAAGAAUGUAGAACUUGAGCUAAAAUAUUGAAAAUAAGGACCUACUUUAGAUGCUUUUGGCAAAGCAAACCCAGAGCCAGAAAGCCU